This 1501-nucleotide long non-coding RNA is filed under the name Cervus hanglu yarkandensis (Yarkand deer). RNAcentral's name for it is "lncRNA (ENSCHYG00000008169.1)". The record is from RNAcentral. Lineage: Eukaryota; Metazoa; Chordata; Mammalia; Artiodactyla; Cervidae.
AAACUGUGAAAAAUCAAUACGAUCUGCUUAAGAGACAGUGGCCAGGACGUCAUAGCUGUUGAAACGGGAAACAGACUGGACUUUGUAUGGGAGAGGCUGGGUUGUUCACUAAACUGUUCCUCUUUCCCUCCUGGACACAAAACCAGACUACAUUUCCCGGCUUCCUUUGUAGCUAGUGUCUGAAUCUGGCCAGUGGAAGGUGGUGGAGACGAUGAACUCUACCCCCAGGCCCAGACAGUUAAACCUCCUACCCCAUCCUCUGUUCUUUCCUCAUCUGCUGGGUAGCAUCUAGCUGAGGACCCUGAAGCCCGGGAUGAUAGCAGAGACACGUGGGCCCCUCAGUCACCGCUUGGAGGACAGUCACCAGGAGACACCCAGGUGAGUCUGCUUAGGGAAUUGUGGGCACACUUUUAUGGUGUCAAGUCACAGAGACUUGGGGAUUGUUUGGUAUAGCCGUUGAUCUCCCUACUGUUACCUCAUGUCACAGAGGCCCUUGGGUGUGGCUAAGUGGGACUAAGUCAGGAAGGCCUGGGCUGAAAUAUCCACCCUAGCACGUUUCAGUGGGAUCACCUUGAGCAAACUGCUAUACCUCUCUAGACCUUAAUUUUUCAUCUUUAAAUGGGGAUUCAUAACCUCAAAAGAUAUAUUAAUGACAAACUCCUUCACUAAACCAGGUGAGGUGUCUUACCGAGUCCCAGCAGGUGGCCCCGUUGGCCCAGAAGUUUACAAGAGGCUUUCAGGACGUGGGAAGUCACCACGUGGCAUGUUGAGGGUUCCCCAGGGCUUGUGGCUGUUGUCCAAGGCCAUUGGAAAGGAGUGCAAAGGCCAGGGUGUAUGUUCCAUAGAAGGGCUCUGGCUGGAACAUACCGGGACAUACACCGCCUGUCUCCAUAGGCAGAGGCCUGAGGUGCUGCUGCUGUAAUUGCAUCAAAACCCAUCGGUUCAAGCAACAAAAUGCCUGGCAUGUUGUCUGCCAAGAGUGCAGUGACUUACCCCCUGGGAUUUUCUCUGGUCCGGGAAGUACAAGCCCUGCUAUUCCUUAGAGAGGAUGGUUUUUAGAAACAAGGUGCUCCCAUUUCUAGACCCUUGAAAACUAGGGAUAGAACAGAGAGGCUGGUUGAAACCAAAUGCCGUGGUUGCCGGGAACGGCCGAGGAGACCCCUGCAGUUUGUGCUGGCCCCUCAGCGAGUGUCCAACAAAGGGAGGCCUCCCAGGGCCCAAGGUGCCACGCUGCUGGGAGCAGGUGCUCAUUGCUGCCCUGGAGAGCAGGGGCGACUUGGUGAUGCCCACGCACUGAGCUGCGCCUGCGUCCCCAGCUCUCAGCGAGUGUCCCCAGGUCCCGAGAUUAAGGACUGGGCCACAAGCAGCUUACGGAGACGGCGAUCCUGGACGCACUCACGCAGGGGUGGGGGCAGACAGGCGGGAGCUGGCAGCUGUCACAAGGCGCGACCACGAAUGAGCCGCGGCCACUGAGGAUGUUGGACACGGUCGGAACAGGCCC